UUGAAAGGGGAAACGAUUGAAGUCAGUCGUGCUAGUGAGAAAUCAACUUGGGGGGUUUUGGGUUCGAAAGUUGCGGUAGGGUUAAACCACCUUUCUCUUGAACUCUGAGCUUUUCGGGUGUACUUUCUCUUUGGCAGGUCAGCGUCGAUUUUGGGGGUUGUAAAAUAACUGGGGAAAUGUAGCUCCCUUCGGGGAGUGUUAUAGACCCUGGGGGAUGCAGCCCGCGGGAUCGAGGAUUGCAGCAAAUGCUUUUGGCUUGUCGCCUAUCCGCUGGACGUUACCCCGCUUGUGACAACAUUCUUGACACUUUGUGGGACUGACAGUCAUCAGUAAA
RNAcentral lists this ribosomal RNA (334 nucleotides) under uncultured Glomeromycotina. RNAcentral describes it as "LSU rRNA". Lineage: Eukaryota; Fungi; Glomeromycota. The record is from RNAcentral.